Molecule: unclassified non-coding RNA, 336 nt
Filed under: soil metagenome
Description: partial contains 5.8S ribosomal RNA, internal transcribed spacer 2, and large subunit ribosomal RNA
Rfam family: 5.8S ribosomal RNA (bases 1-120)
Source: RNAcentral
GAUGAAGAACGUAGUGAAAUGCGAUAAGUAAUGUGAAUUGCAGAAUUCAGUGAAUCAUCGAAUCUUUGAACGCACAUUGCGCCCGCCAGUAUUCUGGCGGGCAUGCCUGUUCGAGCGUCAUUUCAACCAUCAAGCCCCCGGCUUGUGUUGGGGACCUGCGGCUGCCGCAGGCCCUGAAAACCAGUGGCGGGCUCGCUGUCACACCGAGCGUAGUAGAUUUUCAUCUCGCUCAGGGCGUGCUGCGGGUUCCGGCCGUAAAAAGCCUUAUUUACCCAAGGUUGACCUCGGAUCAGGUAGGGAUACCCGCUGAACUUAAGCAUAUCAAUAAGCGGAGGA